UUGCGUUGAUGACUCUUAGGACACCAUUGAACUAUGGAUGUAAAUAAUAAAGAUCUGAGCAAU
Non-coding RNA from Biomphalaria glabrata, 63 nucleotides. Lineage: Eukaryota; Metazoa; Mollusca; Gastropoda; Planorbidae. The record is from Rfam.